Molecule: unclassified non-coding RNA, 228 nt
Filed under: air metagenome
Description: partial contains small subunit ribosomal RNA, internal transcribed spacer 1, and 5.8S ribosomal RNA
Rfam family: Eukaryotic small subunit ribosomal RNA (bases 1-46)
Source: RNAcentral
AAGUCGUAACAAGGUUUCCGUAGGUGAACCUGCGGAAGGAUCAUUACCGUGGGGGCCCCCCGGGGCCCCUGCCGAGAUAGCACCACUUGUCUUACAGCACCAACCGUUUCCUCGGCGGGCUCGCCAGCCAACGGGGACCGAACAAACCAUCAAACCGCAGUUUCAGAAGUCAAAAACGUAACCAAACAAAAAAAAUCAAAACUUUCAACAACGGAUCUCUUGGUUCUG